CAUCAGAGUUAUGAGAAGAGGGGACAAUAUCUUCCAGCUUCUUUCCACUGAAGAUAUCAAUUCCAACAAAGUGGCACUUAGCAUGACCGUGCUUUCCAGUCUUGGAGGUGGAGACUUCCACAACCUGUUAAAUUAAAUGUUGAGCAAUGUUACGAAAAUUUAAAUCUACGUAAACGUCUCAAUUAACAAAACAAGCAUCAUCACUUGAAGCAAUAACUAAAACUAAACUAAAACCAUUUACCACAUCCUAUCACCAAUAUUAAGUAAAAUAGACUACACUUGGUAUAUAUCUAAAAGCUAAAGGCCAGUCCUUAAAGUUUACUAAACUCUUAACAAUAUUUAUUCUUACAAGUGAUUAAAAUUGAGAUUAUUCACAUUGACCUCCAAUCAAAAGGACUAAAAUGUCUUCAAAACAAACGAGCAAAUUACACAACAAUUUGCACUAAACAAAGUAGCAUAAUUCAAAGACAUACGGAUUUUAUAGCAAAAAAGAAAAAAAAAAUUAACAUAUUUUCAGGAAAAUCUAGCUACGAAUAAACGAUUACGCAUCAGGAUUAUCAUACCUAAUUUUAUCUAUAAUUGGAAGCAAAGAAAUAAUUUUUUUCUCGAGAAAAUAUAGGAUUCGGAGAAAACAAAAAGAGAUAAAAGCCAAUUAAAAUAAAAAAAGUAAUAGAAAAGAAACCUUGCAGGGACGGCCUUUGAUGACGAUGUAGCCAUUCUUACGGAUGGUACCAGCUUGCUGCGGGUAAGUCUUGGAGGCUCCGGCAUCGGCCUUUGACUCGAAGUGAUGCUCCUCGUCCGACAUCGUUUUAAGCACUGACUGAUUCCGACUCGGCCGAUUUACUGAGCGAGAUUUUGAGAGAGGCUGGGGGGCGACCGAGCGAGGGAGAGACGGAGGAGGCAAUUAUAAAUGCGGGCUUUUAUAUGUAUAGUGUUUGUGUUUCUGUCGUUUUUCGUUUCUAG
This 963-nucleotide long non-coding RNA is filed under the name Citrus maxima (pomelo). RNAcentral's name for it is "long non-coding RNA (CMAX_LNC002160)". The record is from RNAcentral. Lineage: Eukaryota; Viridiplantae; Streptophyta; Magnoliopsida; Sapindales; Rutaceae.